AGCUCCAAUAGCGUAUAUUAAAGUUGUUGCGGUUAAAAGCUCGUAGUUGGAUUUCUGUGAGGGACAGACGGUCCGCACUAUGUGCGUGAAUUGUUUUGGCCUUUGCAUCCUCCAGGGGAACGGUGCUGCGCUUGAUUGCGUGGUCCGGUAUUCUGGACUUUUACUUGAGGAAAUUGGAGUGUUUACGGCAGGCAAUCGCCUUGAACAUAUUAGCAUGGAAUAAUACUAUAGGACCUUGGUUCUAUUUUGUUGGUUUCUAGAACUAAGGUAAUGAUUAAUAGGGAUAAUUGGGGGCAUUUGUAUUAACACGUCAGAGGUGAAAUUCUUGGAUUGUGUUACGACAAACUACUGCGAAAGCAUUUGCCAAGGAUGUUUUCA
RNAcentral lists this ribosomal RNA (378 nucleotides) under uncultured eukaryote. Its description in RNAcentral is "SSU rRNA". It matches the Rfam family "Eukaryotic small subunit ribosomal RNA", at positions 587 to 972 of the family's 1831-position model. The record is from RNAcentral.